RNAcentral lists this ribosomal RNA (522 nucleotides) under Alternaria alternata. RNAcentral describes it as "eukaryotic LSU rRNA". The stretch from base 220 to 373 matches the Rfam family "5.8S ribosomal RNA". Lineage: Eukaryota; Fungi; Ascomycota; Dothideomycetes; Pleosporales; Pleosporaceae. The record is from RNAcentral.
GGAAGUAAAAGUCGUAACAAGGUCUCCGUAGGUGAACCUGCGGAGGGAUCAUUACACAAAUAUGAAGGCGGGCUGGAACCUCUCGGGGUUACAGCCUUGCUGAAUUAUUCACCCUUGUCUUUUGCGUACUUCUUGUUUCCUUGGUGGGUUCGCCCACCACUAGGACAAACAUAAACCUUUUGUAAUUGCAAUCAGCGUCAGUAACAAAUUAAUAAUUACAACUUUCAACAACGGAUCUCUUGGUUCUGGCAUCGAUGAAGAACGCAGCGAAAUGCGAUAAGUAGUGUGAAUUGCAGAAUUCAGUGAAUCAUCGAAUCUUUGAACGCACAUUGCGCCCUUUGGUAUUCCAAAGGGCAUGCCUGUUCGAGCGUCAUUUGUACCCUCAAGCUUUGCUUGGUGUUGGGCGUCUUGUCUCUAGCUUUGCUGGAGACUCGCCUUAAAGUAAUUGGCAGCCGGCCUACUGGUUUCGGAGCGCAGCACAAGUCGCACUCUCUAUCAGCAAAGGUCUAGCAUCCAUUAAGC